AACGCAGGCGGUUUGGUAAGUCAGAGGUGAAAGUCCACAGCUUAACUGUGGCACUGCCUUUGAUACUGCCUUUCUUGAGUAGAGUAGGGGGAAGCGGAAUUCCGAGUGUAGAGGUGAAAUUCGUAGAUAUUCGGAGGAACACCGGUGGCGAAGGCGGCUUCCUGGACUCUAACUGACGCUCAUGUUCGAAAGCGUGGGUAGCAAACAGGAUUAGAUACCCUGGUAGUCCACGCCCUAAACGAUGGGCACUAGGUGUGGGAGGUAUCGACCCCUUCCGUGCCGCAGCUAACGCAUUAAGUGCCCCGCCUGGGGAGUACGGCCGCAAGGUUGAA
RNAcentral lists this ribosomal RNA (332 nucleotides) under uncultured bacterium. RNAcentral's name for it is "bacterial SSU rRNA". It matches the Rfam family "Bacterial small subunit ribosomal RNA", at positions 568 to 898 of the family's 1533-position model. The record is from RNAcentral.